GCAGAACAAAAGUGGAAGUUAUCAGAAAAUAAAAGAUUAAGAGAUAGACCAGAGCAUAGUAAAAUUCACAUGGAGAUCCGAGGCUAAACAAGUACCCAGGUAUGUUUGGUGGUGGUGAAAUCGUAGAAAGGAUAUCCAAUAGUGAAAAAAAUCCACAGAGCGCUAGAGAAUUUUGAAGAAAUGAUGAUUAUGUGAUGUGGGGAUAAAGAAACUAUAUAUAAGAAGUGAAAGGUUGUGUCUCAAACGGUUGCGUCUCAUAAGAAGGUGACGAUUCAAAGAAAGGAAAAGUAAGAUGUCGUUUGCAUUAGUAUUGAUGACAUAAGACUUUUAAAUGAAACUAAAAUUUUAUCCGUUAGAUUGCAUAGCAGCAACAAUCUCAACCGUAUGAUCUUAAUUUUA
Molecule: long non-coding RNA, 399 nt
Filed under: Brassica napus (rape)
Lineage: Eukaryota; Viridiplantae; Streptophyta; Magnoliopsida; Brassicales; Brassicaceae
Description: long non-coding RNA (BNAP_LNC018408)
Source: RNAcentral